Molecule: non-coding RNA, 100 nt
Organism: Tephrocybe sp. NHM501043
Lineage: Eukaryota; Fungi; Basidiomycota; Agaricomycetes; Agaricales; Lyophyllaceae
Source: the annotation of a GenBank genome assembly
GGUUCAAUGGUCUAGUGGUUAUGAUUUCUGUCUCACAAAUUGGGAUUUCCAACCAUAUCACGGUCACAGAAGGUCUCCAGUUCGAUCCUGGAUUGAACCA